Helianthus annuus (common sunflower) is the source of this 1690-nucleotide long non-coding RNA. RefSeq lists it as uncharacterized. The record is from RefSeq and is a predicted model, not a curated record. Lineage: Eukaryota; Viridiplantae; Streptophyta; Magnoliopsida; Asterales; Asteraceae. The transcript has 5 exons.
CACCAUUAGAUUUGGCUGAAUUUAAAUCUCAGCCACUUAAACUCCCAAAAAUAACUGCUGUCAUGGAAGUUCUGGGCAGUUCUUUACAGUUUCCAGCAUCUUCCCGUUUUUCUGCCCACGUCUGGUUAUUAUUAUGAGAAAACUGUUCUCGCAUUUCAAGGUAGUUUCUUCCUCAUCCCCACUCUCCCCGUAAUUUCAGCCUUAGCGGUUUUAAACCCACGUCUCUACUCACAUCUUUCAACCAACUGCCGCCACCCAUUAUAAACCCCCACCUCCACUAUCUCCCUCCUUCAAACCUACAACAUAAAAUUGGCAGUUUAUCAAGGAUAACAGUUUUGGAUUUGGUGGAUAGUUUCUUCCCCAUUCCACUGCCUCAUGAUUCCAGGUCUCCAUCGCUCCUCAACCACCAUAAACCCUACCAACACCUACGCUCUCUUCAAAUCUGAAGCCGAUUGGGCUCAAAUUGAAGGGAAACCCCAGAUGUAGAGAUGUUCAUCGCAGGACUAAAAGAGAGAUGUACAAGACAUGCUUGGUUAUUGGCAAGGGUUGUUAGGAGAGCGCUUUCUUCAUUGGUUAUUUUAAUAUCAUUGGCAAUCUAAACCAAAUUCAAGUCAUAGAUCAAUCCAAGGCAUCAUUAUGGGAAUAAUCUUCACUUUUAAUACCUUAAAUGGUUGCACUCUCCAACUAUCCAAGCAAAGAAGCUUUUUACUGUCAGGAUGGAUGUAGGAGAAGGUAAAGAAGUGAAUCUUGUCUAAGAGUGUCCAAGAUGAAGACUUCAACAACAAUGCAUUAAAUAUCUCGACACCGUAGAUGUCUUUACCGUUUUCUUGAUUUUCCAUUUUCAUUACAUUCUAACAAAAGUUCUUACCGAGUUUUUUUAGAUUUUAAGUUUUAUAUUUUUUGUAGAUGGAAAGGACAUCUUAUGAAACAGUGAUCGAAAAUGAGAAACUCUUUCAAACAAAAAAUAUAUUUUCUUUACACAAAAAAACGGGGUGUUGAUCGAUACAAUGGGUCAAACAAAAGGUGCUAAGUGCAUCUUUGUUCUUAGUCCAUAGUAGUCGAACGGGGUAUCGCGCCAUUUGUGCACAUAGUGCCCUAUGGCGCUAUGCAACACCGCCCCGAGGGGCGCCAUACGUCGGAAUCCAGAGAGCUCACGAAAAUUAUAACGGGCGCUACACUAAGGUUUCUCACACACACAUAUUUGUAUGUGUGUGUGUGUAUCUUACAUUUAUGCAACUCAAUCCAAGGCAUCAUUAUGGGCAUAAUCUUCACUUUAUUACCUUAAAUGGUUGCACUCUCCAAGCAAAGAAGCUUUUUUACUGUCAGGCUGUAUGUAGAAGGUAAAGAAGUGAAUCUUGUCUAAGAGUGUCCAAGAUGAAGACUUCAACAACAUUUGCCACGGGUCGUAUAACCCCACAUCGCAUGGGGUUAUGAGAGGUUACCACUACGCAUGGCCUUAGUACAACCUACAUAUUAUAUGUCAGAAAAAAAUAAGCUUCCUUUCACCAUUCAACUUUUUUUUUCCAAAGGGGCUGCACCAGCAGCAUAUGGAAUUGUUGGAGUGGAACAUCAAAUAUGGUUGUCAUACACUACACAUUUUGUCUUACAAGUGAAUUUCUGUAUACUUUGACUUUUAAGAGUCAAAGGAUUAGUAAUAGAACCAUAAUUUAUGACUUUGAUUUAUAAAAAA